Molecule: ribosomal RNA, 253 nt
Filed under: uncultured bacterium
Lineage: Bacteria
Description: partial 16S ribosomal RNA
Rfam family: Bacterial small subunit ribosomal RNA
Source: RNAcentral
UACGAAGGGGGCUAGCGUUGCUCGGAAUCACUGGGCGUAAAGCGCACGUAGGCGGAUCUUUAAGUCAGGGGUGAAAUCCCAAGGCUCAACCUUGGAACUGCCUUUGAUACUGGGGAUCUCGAGUCCGGAAGAGGUGAGUGGAACUGCGAGUGUAGAGGUGAAAUUCGUAGAUAUUCGCAAGAACACCAGUGGCGAAGGCGGCUCACUGGUCCGGUACUGACGCUGAGACGCGAAAGCGUGGGGAGCAAACAGG